This 471-nucleotide ribosomal RNA is filed under the name uncultured Entrophospora. Its description in RNAcentral is "SSU rRNA". It matches the Rfam family "Eukaryotic small subunit ribosomal RNA", at positions 569 to 1040 of the family's 1831-position model. Lineage: Eukaryota; Fungi; Glomeromycota; Glomeromycetes; Entrophosporales; Entrophosporaceae. The record is from RNAcentral.
AGCAGCCGCGGUAAUUCCAGCUCCAAUAGCGUAUAUUAAAGUUGUUGCAGUUAAAAAGCUCGUAGUUGAAUUUCGGGAUUGACACAUCGGUCGUGCCUUAAGGGGUAUGAACUGGUGUAGUCAAUUUCUCACCUUCUGGAGAACCGCGAUGCCCUUAAUUGGGUGUCGCGGGGAACCAGGACCUUUACUUUGAAAAAAUUAGAGUGUUUAAAGUAGGCAUUUUGCUUGAAUACAUUAGCAUGGAAUAAUAAAAUAGGACGGCAUGAUUCUAUUUUGUUGGUUUCUAGGAUCACCGUAAUGAUUAAUAGGGAUAGGUUGGGGGCAUUAGUAUUCAAUUGUCAGAGGUGAAAUUCUUGGAUUUAUUGAAGACUAACUACUGCGAAAGCAUUUGCCAAGGAUUGUUUUCAUUAAUCAAGAACGAAAGUUAGGGAUCGAAGACGAUCAGAUACCGUGUAGUCUAACAUAAACUAU